Non-coding RNA from Podarcis lilfordi (Lilford's wall lizard), 76 nucleotides. The record is from the annotation of a GenBank genome assembly. NCBI's taxonomy places the organism in Eukaryota, Metazoa, Chordata, Lepidosauria, Squamata, Lacertidae.
GGGGAUGACUGUAGCUCAGUGGCACAGCAUCUACUCUGCAUGCAGAAGGCCCCAGGUUCGAAUCCUGCCAUUUCCA